CCGGCGAUUUCCGAAUGGGGAAACCCAGUGUGAUUCGUCACACUAUCAUUACGUGAAUACAUAGCGUAAUGAAGCGAACCGGGGGAACUGAAACAUCUAAGUACCCCGAGGAAAAGAAAUCAACCGAGAUUCCCCCAGUAGCGGCGAGCGAACGGGGAGCAGCCCAGAGUCUGAAUCAGCUUGUGUGUUAGUGGAACGGUCUGGAAAGUCCGACGGUACAGGGUGAUAGUCCCGUACACCAAAAUGCACAGGUUGUGAACUCGAAGAGUAGGGCGGGACACGUGGUAUCCUGUCUGAAUAUGGGGGGACCAUCCUCCAAGGCUAAAUACUCCUGACUGACCGAUAGUGAACCAGUACCGUGAGGGAAAGGCGAAAAGAACCCCGGCGAGGGGAGUGAAAAAGAACCUGAAACCGUGUACGUACAAGCAGUGGGAGCCUCUUUAUGGGGUGACUGCGUACCUUUUGUAUAAUGGGUCAGCGACUUAUAUUCUGUAGCAAGGUUAACCGUAUAGGGGAGCCGAAGGGAAACCGAGUCUUAACUGGGCGUU
This 548-nucleotide ribosomal RNA is filed under the name Citrobacter freundii. RNAcentral describes it as "bacterial LSU rRNA". It matches the Rfam family "Bacterial large subunit ribosomal RNA", at positions 104 to 696 of the family's 2925-position model. The record is from RNAcentral. Lineage: Bacteria; Pseudomonadati; Pseudomonadota; Gammaproteobacteria; Enterobacterales; Enterobacteriaceae.